Molecule: long non-coding RNA, 436 nt
Filed under: Elaeis guineensis (African oil palm)
Lineage: Eukaryota; Viridiplantae; Streptophyta; Magnoliopsida; Arecales; Arecaceae
Description: long non-coding RNA (EGUI_LNC067707)
Source: RNAcentral
CUGGAGAAGUCCGGAUAUUGACGAAGUUUGAAAGAAGCUCGGAGUAAAGUCGGUCGUGACAGGAGGAAGUCUGGAAGAGAUUCGAAGAGUAGUCGAUCACUGUAGAAAAUCGGCUGAUAGUGAAGCCCAGAGAGCAUUUGGAGCAGUCCGAUAGACGACUGAAGGAGCUCAUUAUUGGAGAAGUCCGGAGGGUACGGUAGGAGUUCGGACGGUCGGAGGAGUUCAGAAAGAUGCCGCACAAGGUCGGAAGCCAGAAGAGUCCUGGGAGGGUUGGCCUCUUACGAACUUCAGCUGGGAUUAUUUUAUACCCAACAUGUAUAAUCUGAUUUUUAUGUAAGAUCUAAAAGUUUGAAUAAUUUAAUAUUGAUCUUGUGCUGGUGUAAGGUUGUCCUGAUAUGGGGUUUAUCCUCUAUAUUUAAAUGAUUAUCCUAGCACA